This 39-nucleotide ribosomal RNA is filed under the name Sphenodon punctatus (tuatara). The record is from RNAcentral. Lineage: Eukaryota; Metazoa; Chordata; Lepidosauria; Sphenodontia; Sphenodontidae.
UGAAUGUGCCCGAUCCCGUCCGAUCUCAGAAGCUAAGCA